AUUGAACGCUGGCGGAAUGCUUUACACAUGCAAGUCGAACGGCAGCACGGACUUCGGUCUGGUGGCGAGUGGCGAACGGGUGAGUAAUGUAUCGGAACGUAUCCAAUAAUGGGGGAUAACUAAUCGAAAGGUUGGCUAAUACCGCAUACGCCCUACGGGGGAAAGCAGGGGAUCUUCGGACCUUGCGUUAAUGGAGCGGCCGAUAUCUGAUUAGCUAGUUGGUGAGGUAAGAGCUCACCAAGGCGACGAUCAGUAGCUGGUCUGAGAGGACGACCAGCCACACUGGAACUGAGACACGGUCCAGACUCCUACGGGAGGCUG
RNAcentral lists this ribosomal RNA (321 nucleotides) under uncultured Pseudomonadota bacterium. RNAcentral describes it as "bacterial SSU rRNA". It matches the Rfam family "Bacterial small subunit ribosomal RNA", at positions 30 to 351 of the family's 1533-position model. The record is from RNAcentral. Lineage: Bacteria; Pseudomonadati; Pseudomonadota.